AAAUGAAUAGACGGGGGCCCGCACAAGCGGAGGAACAUGUGGUUUAAUUCGAUGAUACGCGAGGAACCUUACCCGGGCUCGAACGGUACAUGAACGAUCAAGAGAUUGAGAGGUCCUUCGGGACAUGUAUCGAGGUGCUGCAUGGUUGUCGUCAGCUCGUGCCGUGAGGUGUCGGCUUAAGUGCCAUAACGAGCGCAACCCUUGUUGAUAGUUACCAUCAGGUUAAGCUGGGGACUCUAUCAAGACUGCCGCCGUAAGGUGUGAGGAAGGGGGGGAUGACGUCAAAUCAGCACGGCCCUUACGUCCGGGGCGACACACGUGUUACAAUGGUAGGUACAGAGGGCAGUCAGGUAGCGAUACCGCACAAAUCUCAAAAACCUAUCUCAGUUCGGAUUGGAGUCUGCAACUCGACUCCAUGAAGUUGGAUUCGCUAGUAAUCGCGCAUCAGCCAUGGCGCGGUGAAUACGUUCCCGGGCCUUGUACACACCGCCCGU
This 494-nucleotide ribosomal RNA is filed under the name uncultured bacterium. RNAcentral describes it as "bacterial SSU rRNA". It matches the Rfam family "Bacterial small subunit ribosomal RNA", at positions 903 to 1397 of the family's 1533-position model. The record is from RNAcentral.